This 73-nucleotide transfer RNA is filed under the name Stylophora pistillata. RNAcentral's name for it is "tRNA-Thr". It matches the Rfam family "tRNA". Rfam says of the family: Transfer RNA (tRNA) molecules are approximately 80 nucleotides in length. Lineage: Eukaryota; Metazoa; Cnidaria; Anthozoa; Scleractinia; Pocilloporidae. The record is from Rfam by way of RNAcentral.
GCCUCGUUAGCUCAGAGGUUAGAGCACUGGUCUCGUAAACCAGGGGUCGAGAGUUCAAAUCUUUCACGAGGCU